AGGGGAGUGAAAUAGAACCUGAACCCGUAUCCGUACAAGCAGUGGGAGCCACUUCGUGUGGUGACUGCGUACCUUUUUUAUAAUGGGUCAUCGACUUGGUCUAUCUAGCAAGCUUAAGCCGUUAGGUGUAGGCGCAGCGAAAGCGAGUCUUAAUAGGGCGAAUGAGUUUGAGGGAUCAGACCCGAAACCGAGUGAUCUAGGUAUGAGCAGGCUGAAGG
This 218-nucleotide ribosomal RNA is filed under the name Alexandrium margalefii. RNAcentral's name for it is "partial Bacterial large subunit ribosomal RNA". It matches the Rfam family "Bacterial large subunit ribosomal RNA", at positions 532 to 751 of the family's 2925-position model. Lineage: Eukaryota; Dinophyceae; Gonyaulacales; Pyrocystaceae. The record is from RNAcentral.